This 696-nucleotide ribosomal RNA is filed under the name uncultured bacterium. Its description in RNAcentral is "bacterial SSU rRNA". It matches the Rfam family "Bacterial small subunit ribosomal RNA", at positions 32 to 715 of the family's 1533-position model. The record is from RNAcentral.
AACGCUAGCUACAGGCUUAACACAUGCAAGUCGAGGGGAAACGAUAUUGGAAGCUUGCUUCCGAUAGGCGUCGACCGGCGCACGGGUGAGUAACGCGUAUCCAACCUGCCCACCACUUGGGGAUAACCUUGCGAAAGUAAGACUAAUACCCAAUGAUAUCUCUAGAAGACAUCUGAAAGAGAUUAAAGAUUUAUCGGUGAUGGAUGGGGAUGCGUCUGAUUAGCUUGUUGGCGGGGUAACGGCCCACCAAGGCAACGAUCAGUAGGGGUUCUGAGAGGAAGGUCCCCCACAUUGGAACUGAGACACGGUCCAAACUCCUACGGGAGGCAGCAGUGAGGAAUAUUGGUCAAUGGACGAGAGUCUGAACCAGCCAAGUAGCGUGCAGGAAGACGGCCCUAUGGGUUGUAAACUGCUUUUAUAAGGGAAUAAAGUGAGUCUCGUGAGACUUUUUGCAUGUACCUUAUGAAUAAGGACCGGCUAAUUCCGUGCCAGCAGCCGCGGUAAUACGGAAGGUCCGGGCGUUAUCCGGAUUUAUUGGGUUUAAAGGGAGCGUAGGCCGGAGAUUAAGCGUGUUGUGAAAUGUAGACGCUCAACGUCUGCACUGCAGCGCGAACUGGUUUCCUUGAGUACGCACAAAGUGGGCGGAAUUCGUGGUGUAGCGGUGAAAUGCUUAGAUAUCACGAAGAACUCCGAUUG